GAUCCUGGCUCAGGAUGAACGCUGGCGGCGUGCUUAACACAUGCAAGUCGAGCGAAGCAAUUUAAGUGAAGUUUUCGGAUGGAUCUUAGAUUGACUGAGCGGGCGGACGGGUGAAGGUAACGCGUGGAUAACCUGCCUCACACAGGGGGAUAACAGUUAGAAAUGACUGCUAAUACCGCAUAAGCGCACAGUACCGCAUGGUAUAGUGUGAAAAACUCCGGUGGUGUGAGAUGG
RNAcentral lists this ribosomal RNA (234 nucleotides) under uncultured bacterium. RNAcentral describes it as "partial 16S ribosomal RNA". It matches the Rfam family "Bacterial small subunit ribosomal RNA", at positions 15 to 228 of the family's 1533-position model. The record is from RNAcentral.